CAGGCCUAACACAUGCAAGUCGAGCGGAGUCAAUUUGAAAGCUUGCUUUCAAAUUGACUUAGCGGCGGACGGGUGAGUAACACGUAGGCAACCUGCCCCUUAGCCUGGGAUAACUACCGGAAACGGUAGCUAAUACCGGAUAAUUCCUUUUGGCUCCUGCCGAAAGGAUGAAAGACGGAGCAAUCUGUCGCUGAGGGAUGGGCCUGCGGCGCAUUAGCUAGUUGGUGGGGUAACGGCCCACCAAGGCGACGAUGCGUAGCCGACCUGAGAGGGUGAACGGCCACACUGGGACUGAGACACGGCCCAGACUCCUACGGGAGGCAGCAGUAGGGAAUCUUCCGCAAUGGGCGAAAGCCUGACGGAGCAACGCCGCGUGAGUGAUGAAGGUUUUCGGAUCGUAAAGCUCUGUUGCCAGGGAAGAACG
RNAcentral lists this ribosomal RNA (424 nucleotides) under Paenibacillus sp. Lgg15.3. Its description in RNAcentral is "bacterial SSU rRNA". It matches the Rfam family "Bacterial small subunit ribosomal RNA", at positions 43 to 451 of the family's 1533-position model. Lineage: Bacteria; Bacillati; Bacillota; Bacilli; Caryophanales; Paenibacillaceae. The record is from RNAcentral.